Molecule: long non-coding RNA, 1020 nt
Organism: Entelurus aequoreus (snake pipefish)
Lineage: Eukaryota; Metazoa; Chordata; Actinopteri; Syngnathiformes; Syngnathidae
Exons: 4
Source: RefSeq, a predicted model, not a curated record
GUGUAACACUGUGCCACUCCGCUGUAUAACCACAGUGACACAUGCCCAUACAAAAACCUCCCCAGUCCAGCAUGUAGCAGAGGAUUUUUUUGGGACACAGAAACAAAGGACCUACAGAGUCGAAGAAUGUCUAAAACAUUGACCAAAGUCUUAAAUGUCAAACUGUCAUCAAGGAGAAGUCCAGAGAGAACAGUCAAAGCAGCAGAUGCUGUCACGGCCAGGGCUUAUUCCAAUGCGCCCUCAUCUGUGUGCUCUGCUUGUUGCGCCUCCAAGAGCGCACCUCGGGACACGCCCACAACCGCACACUGCACACCGCUGCAGCCGGCAGCUGCAAUCAUUCACCGGCAAUCAGCGCACCUGAAGCUGAUCAUCAGAGGACUGCCUUCAAAAGCCUGCUCAACCUGCUAUCCGGGGCCAGAACGUAAAUCAGCUGUUCGAGAACCUAUCCUCCGUCGCCUUGGAAGUGAGCUGUGCGCCUCACUUCCCUGGACCCCCUCUGGAUUCUGACUGCCUUCCACGAUCCUCGACCCCCGCUCUGGACACGGAUCUGUUGACGCCUCGCUAUACCCCUCAGACUACCUGCCUGUCUCACAGACCUCCGUGAUCUGCCUUGUCCCUCCUCUCGUUCAACAUUACGACCAAAGCUGCAGAGAUAAUCCACCAGAGACUUCAUCCCUCCUCUCUGACAUACACACAUCAGCAAGUGAUCACAUUUGACACUCAACAUACGUACACUCAAUAAAGACAGCGUACAUACAUAUAUACAUACAUACACAAAAUAUGUGCAUUUUUAAUAUAUAUUUCUUUACAAAAGCAGACAUGAGCCAGAAACAAGCCUGCAUCUUCCUCAAAGGGGCGUCGAGGAGACAAGUAAGUCACAUUUCAAGGAAUUACAAGCAAAAUAUUCAAAGAGACAAGCUAAAAGUUCAACUUAAUACAUUUUUUGCAGAAAUAUGGUGUUGUGUUUAUGGCUAAAUUUGUGUAUUAAAAUGGGGGAAUAAUAAUAAAAACAAAUGCAAA